CCUACGGGUGGCAGCAGUGAGGAAUAUUGGUCAAUGGGCGAGAGCCUGAACCAGCCAAGCAGCGUGAAGGAUGAAUGUCCUGCGGAUUGUAAACUUCUUUUAUAAAGGAACAAAGUCAGGGACGUGUGCCCUUAUGUGUGUACUUGAUGAAAAAGGAUCGGCUAACUCCGUGCCAGCAGCCGCGGUAAUACGGAGGUGGCAAGCGUUGUCCGGAUUUACUGGGUGUAAAGGGCGUGCAGCCGGGCCGAUAAGUCAGAUGUGAAAGCCGCGGGCGUAACCCGCGCACCGCCUUUGAAACUAGGGGUCUUGAGUAACGGAGAGGUAAGCGGAAUUCGCGGUGUAGCGGUGAAAUGCGUAGAUAUCGGGAAGAACACCAGUGGCGAAGGCGGAUGGCUGGACGGAAACUGACGGUGAGGCGCGAAAGCGUGGGGAGCGAACAGGAUUAGAUACCCUAGUAGUC
This 460-nucleotide ribosomal RNA is filed under the name uncultured bacterium. RNAcentral's name for it is "partial 16S ribosomal RNA". It matches the Rfam family "Bacterial small subunit ribosomal RNA", at positions 338 to 795 of the family's 1533-position model. The record is from RNAcentral.